Molecule: ribosomal RNA, 420 nt
Filed under: Triticum aestivum (bread wheat)
Lineage: Eukaryota; Viridiplantae; Streptophyta; Magnoliopsida; Poales; Poaceae
Description: partial small subunit ribosomal RNA
Source: RNAcentral
GAUAAACAAUUAGCGGUCGUUAAUGCUUCUUGUACUGCUCCUUGGUAUGCUGAUUAUGCUAAUUACAUUGUUGCUAAAUUUAUACCGCCUAGUUUCACAUACCAGCAAAAGAAAAAGUUCUUUUAUGAUUUAAGACAUUACUUCUGGGAUGAUCCACACCUUUAUAAAGAAGGAGUAGAUGGUGUUAUUAGAUGUUGUGUGCCUGAGCAUGAACAGGGACCGAUUCUACGCAAGUGUCACUCUGAAUCUUAUGGAGGACACCACGCUGGAGAUAGAAUUGCACACAAGGUACUCCAAUCUGGUUUUUAUUGGCCUACUCUCUUCAAAGAUGCUCGUAAGUUUGUCUUAUCUUGUGAUGAAUGCCAAAGAAUAUGUAACAUUAGUAGACGUCAAGAAAUGCCUAUGAAUUAUUCUCUUAUU